AUUGAACGCUGGCGGCAGGCCUAACACAUGCAAGUCGAGCGGAUGAAGGGAGCUUGCUCCUGGAUUCAGCGGCGGACGGGUGAGUAAUGCCUAGGAAUCUGCCUGGUAGUGGGGGAUAACGUCCGGAAACGGGCGCUAAUACCGCAUACGUCCUGAGGGAGAAAGUGGGGGAUCUUCGGACCUCACGCUAUCAGAUGAGCCUAGGUCGGAUUAGCUAGUUGGUGGGGUAAAGGCCUACCAAGGCGACGAUCCGUAACUGGUCUGAGAGGAUGAUCAGUCACACUGGAGCUGAGACACGGUCCAGACGCCUACGGGAGGCAGCAGUGGGGAAUAUUGGACAAUGGGCGAAAGCCUGAUCCAGCCAUGCCGCGUGUGUGAAGAAGGUCUUCGGAUUGUAAAGCACUUUAAGUUGGGAGGAAGGGCAGUAAGUUAAUACCUUGCUGUUUUGACGUUACCAACAGAAUAAGCACCGGCUAACUUCGUG
This 484-nucleotide ribosomal RNA is filed under the name uncultured bacterium. Its description in RNAcentral is "partial 16S ribosomal RNA". It matches the Rfam family "Bacterial small subunit ribosomal RNA", at positions 30 to 507 of the family's 1533-position model. The record is from RNAcentral.